UCUCCUGGAAACGGGUGGUAAUGCCGGAUGCUCCAGUUGAUCGCAUGGUCUUCUGGGAAAGCUUUCGCGGUAUGGGAUGGGGUCGCGUCCUAUCAGCUUGACGGCGGGGUAACGGCCCACCGUGGCUUCGACGGGUAGCCGGCCUGAGAGGGCGACCGGCCACAUUGGGACUGAGAUACGGCCCAGACUCCUACGGGAGGCAGCAGUGGGGAAUAUUGCACAAUGGGCGCAAGCCUGAUGCAGCGACGCCGCGUGAGGGAUGGAGGCCUUCGGGUUGUAAACCUCUUUUAUCGGGGAGCAAGCGAGAGUGAGUUUACCCGUUGAAUAAGCACCGGCUAACUACGUGCCAGCAGCCGCGGUAAUACGUAGGGUGCAAGCGUUAUCCGGAAUUAUUGGGCGUAAAGGGCUCGUAGGCGGUUCGUCGCGUCCGGUGUGAAAGUCCAUCGCUUAACGGUGGAUCCGCGCCGGGUACGGGCGGGCUUGAGUGCGGUAGGGGAGACUGGAAUUCCCGGUGUAACGGUGGAAUGUGUAGAUAUCGGGAAGAA
RNAcentral lists this ribosomal RNA (545 nucleotides) under Bifidobacterium longum subsp. suillum. RNAcentral describes it as "bacterial SSU rRNA". It matches the Rfam family "Bacterial small subunit ribosomal RNA", at positions 146 to 706 of the family's 1533-position model. The record is from RNAcentral. Lineage: Bacteria; Bacillati; Actinomycetota; Actinomycetes; Bifidobacteriales; Bifidobacteriaceae.